UACAGAGGGGGCAAGCGUUAUUCGGAAUUAUUGGGCGUAAAGGGCGCGUAGGCGGCCAUUCAAGUGACGGGUGAAAGCCCGGGGCUCAACUCCGGAAUUGCCUUUAAGACUGCAUCGCUAGAAUUGUGGAGAGGUAAGUGGAAUUCCGAGUGUAGAGGUGAAAUUCGUAGAUAUUCGGAAGAACACCAGUGGCGAAGGCGACUUACUGGACACAUAUUGACGCUGAGGUGCGAAAGCGUGGGGAGCAAACAGG
This 253-nucleotide ribosomal RNA is filed under the name uncultured bacterium. RNAcentral describes it as "partial 16S ribosomal RNA". It matches the Rfam family "Bacterial small subunit ribosomal RNA", at positions 524 to 776 of the family's 1533-position model. The record is from RNAcentral.